GCUUAUGUUAUAAACGUCUUCCUUGAUUUAGUAUCGGAAGAUGUUUUUAAUGUAGGCUUC
Molecule: microRNA precursor, 60 nt
Filed under: Eisenia fetida (common brandling worm)
Lineage: Eukaryota; Metazoa; Annelida; Clitellata; Crassiclitellata; Lumbricidae
Description: Efe-Mir-2686-o1_pre stem-loop
Source: RNAcentral